AGUGCGUGUCAAUCUGGAGAUAGCAGGCUAUCUGAGGGUAAAGAGGAUCAAUGGAGUAAGUCUCGGGUAGCAUUUAUAACAAGGAAUCGAAUGGACACACAGACACCGAAUGUGGUUCCAAGUGCAGUCCUGAAGGCUGGAGUCUGCCAGGAGCCCUGAGAAUGGUCUCAGACCCCAGGUGCUCCAGGCUUGGCUGUGGUUCACACUGAGCUCCUGCGCUUCAUGAGGCCGCGGAAGGUAGCCAGGCUGUGCAGGCCCGUGGACACGGAGCUGAUGGCCGAGCGUUGC
This 288-nucleotide long non-coding RNA is filed under the name Rattus norvegicus (Norway rat). Its description in RNAcentral is "long non-coding RNA NONRATT024093". Lineage: Eukaryota; Metazoa; Chordata; Mammalia; Rodentia; Muridae. The record is from RNAcentral.